RNAcentral lists this long non-coding RNA (298 nucleotides) under Monodelphis domestica (gray short-tailed opossum). RNAcentral's name for it is "lncRNA (ENSMODG00000040548.1)". The record is from RNAcentral. Lineage: Eukaryota; Metazoa; Chordata; Mammalia; Didelphimorphia; Didelphidae.
AUGUUGGAUGAAAUCAUUGAACUUACCUUUCAAUGGAGUGCUCAAUGGGAAGAAGCCAGACGAUACAUACGAAGAGAUGAGUUGGAGAGCUCCCUCCAGACAGCAGGAAGAAGGACUAAAUGGCUUUUGGGCAGCCAGUCUUUGCUGAGCAAGCAAGCCAGAUGUCAGCACAGUAAGAAACGGCAGAUGAUUGUGUGGAACCAAGGCUGAAUGAAAUGCAAUGGUGGUGGUAAGGUCAAGGGAAAUUUGUUUGACUCUCUGUGUGAAAGUGCUGAGAAUAAAUGAUUCCUAGGUCCCA